UGUGAGUGGAAGCUCAUUGUAGAGGUCACGUGCAAAGUGCUUGUCACUCAUCCAAUCACCUUGGGGAAGGUGGAGGAGCCAAUUGUUACCCUUGCAAGGUAUCACCUCAUUCGAGCGAGCGAGUCAACAGAAAAAUUGGGCCAACACUAGCAGUUUCAACAGGAGAAUACAAUUUUAGAGACUUCUGCAGAAGGAGAAGCCUGUCUGUCACA
RNAcentral lists this long non-coding RNA (212 nucleotides) under Oryzias latipes (Japanese medaka). RNAcentral's name for it is "Nuclear RNase P (ENSORLG00020013050.1)". It matches the Rfam family "Nuclear RNase P", at positions 1 to 208 of the family's 301-position model. From Rfam's summary of the family: Ribonuclease P (RNase P) is a ubiquitous endoribonuclease, found in archaea, bacteria and eukarya as well as chloroplasts and mitochondria. Its best characterised activity is the generation of mature 5'-ends of tRNAs by cleaving the 5'-leader elements of precursor-tRNAs. Cellular RNase Ps are ribonucleoproteins. The record is from RNAcentral. Lineage: Eukaryota; Metazoa; Chordata; Actinopteri; Beloniformes; Adrianichthyidae.